AAGUAAAAUUGAACACAUAGCGAAAUUAAAAUAACUAUUGAUGCGAACAUAAUAAUUCUCAAUGACAACUUGGAUAUGUUGCAAGAAAAUGUGAAAUGGUGAUCACUUAUUAGAGAGACUUAUGGCGAUUCUGUUAGUACUCACUCUGUUAGUGAUUCUGUUAAUUGGCUUACUACAUACGCUGAGGAUUCAGUGGAGUGAAAAGUUUCUGAAAAUUUGUGGUGGGGAUCAUUAUAUAAAAAAGAGAUGUAUGAUACACAAGUCUUUUUACAUCAGUCGAUUUGUGGACCGCUCCUACUACAUAGAACAGAUUACUUCUACUGUAUCAAAGUAUACUUGCCUUGAAAACGUCUGACGCUAUGAAUUACGUUCCAAUUCAACAGAAUGAGGCGUGCGAGAGACACGCAUCUUUUCAUACAUCUUCCCAUACAUUUUCGAAACCUCGCUACAUACUUCAUAUCAUGAUGAGGAGAUAUGCUUUAACAUUAACUAUGUAUAAGUUUCUGGACAUUGGAAUAGUCGUGGGACGUACGUCUCAUGUAGAAUAGAUAUAGAUAUAGAUUGUUGCGAUCAGCAACAAUCGAGGCAACCGUAUAAUCAUGCCUCAUGCUACGUGGAAGGUGUUCAUUGAGAGACGUAUAGAUAUUGAGCGAUUAAUACAGUCAACUGUCUCAUCAUCAUCAUUAUCAUCGCCACUAAUUCAAGAUCUGAACGUAGAACUUGUUAAAGUAUGAUACGAAAAAUGUAAAAUUGUCAUUGUAUGGUACAUGCUUGUACAUGAAACCAACAAUUGUAUUCAUCUUAUUUAAACUCGAGCAAUGUGUCAAGCAUGCGUACUCUAAACUAAGUCAAUGUAUGCAUGGUGUUAGUGAAAAAUUCAAAUAUUUUGUGUCAUUUUUAAAACAAAAUUACUAAUAAACGCAAUGAAAAAACUUUGCACAAAGUUGAUAAUAAAAAUUCUGUUAUAGAAU
Long non-coding RNA from Acromyrmex echinatior (Panamanian leafcutter ant), 971 nucleotides. The record is from RefSeq and is a predicted model, not a curated record. Lineage: Eukaryota; Metazoa; Arthropoda; Insecta; Hymenoptera; Formicidae.